RNAcentral lists this ribosomal RNA (1036 nucleotides) under uncultured fungus. RNAcentral's name for it is "eukaryotic LSU rRNA". The stretch from base 473 to 1036 matches the Rfam family "Eukaryotic large subunit ribosomal RNA", at positions 1 to 582 of the family's 3401-position model. The record is from RNAcentral. Lineage: Eukaryota; Fungi.
GAUCAUUACUGAGUGUCGAGAUUUUUCAAAUCUCAACCUCCCACCCCUUGUGUAUCGAAACUUGUUGCUUCGGCGGAACGUUUGGCUUCAGCCAACCUCUGGUUUUACUGGAGUGUCUUCUGCCGAAGGUUUUCAAAACUCUGAUUUUGUGGUGUCUGAGCUUUCUGAAAAGAAAAAAAACUUUCAACAACGGAUCUCUUGGUUCUGGCAUCGAUGAAGAACGCAGCGAAAUGCGAUAAGUAAUGUGAAUUGCAGAAUUCAGUGAAUCAUCGAAUCUUUGAACGCACAUUGCGCCUUUUGGUAUUCCGAGAGGCAUACCUGUUCGAGCGCCGUUUCAUAAUUCAAGCUCCUGCUUGGUGUUGACCACAGUCAAAGACUUGGUCGAAACUCGUUGGCAUUUGUCUUUUAGGUCUACAGCGUGACAGAAAUCUCGUUUGUGACCAGUUGGCAAAUCGCCUGCUUCUGAAACUGAUGGCCUCGGAUCAGGUAAGGUUACCCGCUGAACUUAAGCAUAUCAAUAAGCGGAGGAAAAGAAACCAACAGGGAUUGCCUUAGUAACGGCGAGUGAAGCGGCAAGAGCUCAAAUUUGAAAUCUGGCAACAGCCCGAAUUGUAAUUUGCAGAGGAAUGUACGGCUUCGGAAUCGGUCAAAGUCUUCUGGAAAGAAGCGCCACUGAGGGUGAGAGCCCCGUCUUCGGCUUCGUUCCAACGCCAUGUGUACUUCCUUCGACGAGUCGAGUUGUUUGGGAAUGCAGCUCAAAAUGGGUGGUAAAUUCCAUCUAAAGCUAAAUAUUGGCCAGAGACCGAUAGCGCACAAGUAGAGUGAUCGAAAGAUGAAAAGCACUUUGAAAAGAGAGUCAAACAGUACGUGAAAUUGUUGAAAGGGAAGGGCUUAUGAUCAGACUCACAUGCAGUUGCUCAGCCGUCAGGCGCACUCUUCUGUAUUUGGGCCAGCAUCAGUUUUGAGAGCUGGAAAAAAGCGUUGGGAACGUGGCUCCUCGGAGUGUUAUAGCCCUUCGCAAUACAGCUUCUUGGGA